This 1002-nucleotide ribosomal RNA is filed under the name uncultured bacterium. RNAcentral's name for it is "bacterial SSU rRNA". It matches the Rfam family "Bacterial small subunit ribosomal RNA", at positions 356 to 1376 of the family's 1533-position model. The record is from RNAcentral.
GGGGAAUAUUGCACAAUGGGGGAAACCCUGAUGCAGCAACGCCGCGUGAAGGAUGACGGUUUUCGGAUUGUAAACUUCUUUUCUUAGUGACGAAGACAGUGACGGUAGCUAAAGAAUAAGCAUCGGCUAACUACGUGCCAGCAGCCGCGGUAAUACGUAGGAUGCAAGCGUUAUCCGGAUUUACUGGGUGUAAAGGGAGCGCAGGCGGGACUGCAAGUUGGAUGUGAAAUACCGUGGCUUAACCACGGAACUGCAUCCAAAACUGUAGUUCUUGAGUGAAGUAGAGGCAAGCGGAAUUCCGAGUGUAGCGGUGAAAUGCGUAGAUAUUCGGAGGAACACCAGUGGCGAAGGCGGCUUGCUGGGCUUUAACUGACGCUGAGGCUCGAAAGUGUGGGGAGCAAACAGGAUUAGAUACCCUGGUAGUCCACACUGUAAACGAUGAUAGCUAGGUGUGGGGGGUCUGACCCCUUCCGUGCCGGAGUUAACGCAAUAAGCUAUCCACCUGGGGAGUACGACCGCAAGGUUGAAACUCAAAGGAAUUGACGGGGGCCCGCACAAGCAGUGGAUUAUGUGGUUUAAUUCGAAGCAACGCGAAGAACCUUACCAGGUCUUGACAUCCGACUAACGAGAUAGAGAUAUGUCAGGUGCCCUUCGGGGAAAGUCGAGACAGGUGGUGCAUGGUUGUCGUCAGCUCGUGUCGUAAGAUGUUGGGUUAAGUCCCGCAACGAGCGCAACCCCUGCCAUUAGUUGCUACGCAAGAGCACUCUAAUGGGACCGCUACCGACAAGGUGGAGGAAGGUGGGGACGACGUCAAAUCAUCAUGCCCCUUAUGACCUGGGCUACACACGUAAUACAAUGGCCGUUAACAGAGGGAAGCAAAGCGGUGACGCAGAGCAAAACCCUAAAAACGGUCCCAGUUCGGACUGUAGGCUGCAACCCGCCUACACGAAGUUGGAAUUGCUAGUAAUCGCGGAUCAGCAUGCCGCGGUGAAUACGUUCCCG